RNAcentral lists this long non-coding RNA (2596 nucleotides) under Homo sapiens (human). RNAcentral describes it as "non-protein coding lnc-WFS1-1:1". Lineage: Eukaryota; Metazoa; Chordata; Mammalia; Primates; Hominidae. The record is from RNAcentral.
AGAAUCGCCCGAACCCAGGAGGUGGAGGUUGCAGUGAGCCAAGAUCGUGCCACUGCACUCCAGCCUGGGCGACAGAGUGAGACUCUGUCUCCAAAUUAAUUAAUUAAUAAAGUUAUAAUUGAAAUUAACACUCUGAUCCCCGAAUGCUUGGGGAGACUGAUUUGAGUAAUAAUAAAACUCCAGCCUCCCUCACAGCCAGCUCUGCAUAAAUUACCUUCUCCAUUGCAGUUCCCCUGUCUUGAUAAAUCGGCUCUGUCCAGGCAGUGGGCAAGGUGAACCCACUGGGUGGUUACACUUUCAGCACUGUGUCUACAGUCUGGCCAGCCUUUAGGAUGGGAGGGCAGGUGAAAGACAGGCUUCUCCCCUCUUACAGUAGUGCCUGGAGCAGAUCACUUCCAUUGUCCUCGCUGUUGGCCCCACCUGGCUCUGGGGGACAAUCCUGUGUCCAGAUAACAACUCCAAUGCGACGUACGAAGGGAAGGUCAGAUGUCAGGGACAACCAGGAGUCCCUGCCUCAUGUGUUUCCUUCUUUCCUGGUUUCGUGUUAGUGGCGCACACCCUCCAGCAACUUCCUGAGAAAUUGCCUUUAUGUGAACGGGAGCCAGUCUGAAAACUUCCCAACAUAGGUCCAUACCUUUGGGUCAUCUCCCCUCACGGUGACCUGGGCUUGCUCCUGUGACUUGUUUUGGCCCAUGAGACGACAGGAAAUAUGACACAAGCAGAGACUUGAGAGGCAGGUGUGCCUUGGGGCUUAUCUUACUGACACUGGGGGCUCCAGUGUCAGAGACAUUGGAACCAGAGUGACUCCAUCUUGAAUAGGGGCUGGGUAAAAUGAGGCUGAGACCUGCUGGGCUAUAUUCCCAGGAGGUUAGGCAUUCUUAGUCAACAGGAGAUUCACAGAUGGGGAACAAGUGAACGAUGUUUACCAAACAGACCCCGGACUUAACAGAUCCAGGAGAUGUCCUGAUGUCCCGACACCUUAAGAACAAAAGCAUUCUUAGUUCAAAAAUAAGUUUGGUGGCUGGGCGUGGUUAUCUCUUUUUCUCACCUAUUUUCUUUGGGAUUCUCUUUGAUAUUUUUUGUUCUACUUCCUGAGAAAUUUCCUCAACCGUAUCUUCCAAUCUUUGCAGAGAUCUUUAUUUUUGCAAUCAUGCUUCUAAUUUCCAUGGUUUCCUUAGAGUCUCCACGUGUUUCCUUGGCUAUGUUUUCCAUAUUCUCUUAUCUCUAUGCAGAUAUCCAUUAUCCGAGUUUUGAAAACGGUAUUCCACCUGGCACUGUAGCUAAAGGUUGCAGCUUCUUUUCCUUCCUCUUUGCUUGUUUGCUUGUUUUUGUCUUGGUCUUUUCCACAGCAGGGCUGUCCUUGAGUGUCUGGCAUUCUGGGCUGUCUGCUUCUAUCUCAGCAGCUGCCUGGAAUCUCUGUGUGCCUGUGGCAGAGUGGGGAUGCGUGUCAAACUGCCAGCUUCCCAGUUGGAUGCUUUGGUGGAGCAGUACCUUUUUUUUUUUUUUUUUUUUGAGAUGGAGUCUCACUGUCGCCCAGGCUGGAGUGCAGUGGUGUAAUCUUGGCUCACUGCAACUUCCACCUCCCAUGUUCAAGCCAUUCUCCUCCCUCUCAGCCUCCCGAGUAGCUAUGAUUCUAGGUGCAUGCCACCAUGCCUGGAUAAUUUUUGUGUUUUUAGCAACGACAGGGUUUCGCCGUGUUGGCCAGGCUGGUCUCAAACUCCUGACCACUGGUAAUCCGCCCGCCUUGGUCUCCCAAAGUGCUGGGAUUACAGGGGUAAGCCACCGUGUCUGGCCGAUGGAGCAGUAUCUCGAGGGACCUCCAAGUGUCCAAACCUAGGUCUUUUCUCUCCAGCUGGCCAGUUUCCCAGUGAGGGGGCCUUUAACCUUCCCCGGGGUGUGGGUGGGUUGGGUGUGACCUGUUCUCAGUUGGCUGCCUGCCGCCAGGUCUUCCUGGGGUCCCGGUCCCCGCAGCCUCUCGCACAAUCCCUGGGGAAUGAACCUCCCGCCUUCUGCAGGGCUGGGAGAGGGAUGCUUGCUGAGGAAGACAUUCAGAAAACCUCAAUUUUCUCCCCACCCUCAGAGGUCCCUGGUGCCUCCAGGCCCAGAGCCUUUCUGGGGUUCUAUGAUGCAAACCAGUUGCCUUGUGGUUGCCCCCACCGCGGGCUUGGGCUCUGCUCUCUCAGUCUCUAAGCUGUUUCCACUCCCCCAUGUGCCUUCUUGCUUCCCAUCUUCAAGGCCACGGUCCAGCUCCCGUUCUCUUUGUUUUGAUCCCUUCUUUGACUCUCGAGCCUGUGGGAGCGAGGGUGUUUGAUCUGCAGUGUUGAGCAGGGUUCUCUGGGCUCCUGCAGGGGACCCAGUGUUGAGCCCACAUACACCUCGCUCAGUAAGUAGUCCCUAAGGACUGUGCAGGGCACCAGGGACACGGUGGUGAGUGAAUGAUGGUCCCUGGUCUCACAUCUGUGUCCGUGCCAGUGCCAGGGGGCCUGGGCUGUGGGGAAAGGAGGAAUCGAGGCGCUCAGCUCAGGAGGCUUUUCAGGAGCAAAGGGUGCACAGUUGGUUUCAGGCAGGGAAAGGUGUGAGCAGCGGCUGGGAAAAC